Molecule: transfer RNA, 67 nt
Filed under: Chloroflexi bacterium RBG_13_46_9
Lineage: Bacteria; Bacillati; Chloroflexota
Description: tRNA-Trp
Rfam family: tRNA
About the family: Transfer RNA (tRNA) molecules are approximately 80 nucleotides in length. Their secondary structure includes four short double-helical elements and three loops (D, anti-codon, and T loops).
Source: RNAcentral
GCUCAGUUGGUAGAGCAGCGGUCUCCAAAACCGCAGGUCGCGGGUUCGAAUCCUGCCGCCCCUGCCA